CUUCUUCUCCUCCUUUCUUCCUCCCGUCCCAAUCUCCUCUCCCUCCUCUUCUCCUCUCUUCCCAUGGGGCAGGGGGCAAACUCGGAAGUGCUCGGGAGGAAGCCGAGUCCGAGGUCGGCGGUGCCGGCGGCCGGCCAACAUCACCCGCUGCUCGGCCUGUAGCAGCCGACCCCCCCAUCCUCUUCAUCUUCCCCCUUCUUCUUCUGUUCUCCCCCCUUCUGGGAAACAGGGUCUCCGAAACCAGUCACCCGAGAGAGGGGAGAGCCCCUCGGCCAUGCCGCAACCCUCGCCGAGACCAAUGGCGGCUGCGGCCGAGCCAACGGUUCUCCGAGUCUGUCGCAGCAGAGGGGGAGGAGAACACCUCCAACGGCGACCAUCUUCUCAGCUACCAAAUCUAGAUGUGCUCGGUUAGGGUUUGGCUAAUAAGGAAAGAAGAUGAUCGGGAGGAGAAUAGUCUUCGGCCAUCAACGAUCGGGGUCAAUGUUGGCUCAGAGGCCAAACACUGCAGAUCGAAAUAUGAAAUGAGAGGGAUAGAGUGAUCAGAAGACUCACCUAGCUCCGGGAAGGAGCUGUGGGGCUUUUCCGGCGAGCUGCUGCAUCUGCUCCGGCGACGCAGUGCGGGGACGAGCUCCCUCCUCCUCCGGCGCCACUGCUCUCGAUCCGGCUUCUCACACAGAAGGAGAAGGGAAUGAGAGGGGGUGAGAGAAGAGUCCUUGGUUCUUAUAGACCUCGGCGGGAGAGAGAGGUGGUGGUGAUCGUGGUUGUCAGGCGGUUAUAACCGCCUCAACAGUUGCCGAUCUCCACCGCCAUUCCUUCCAAGUCUCCAGAUGGGCCGGGGUUUACAAUAUCUUUAUAGUUACAUAAUUAAUGUGUUUUUAUUUGAAAAUAUUACCUUGUUGAAAAGUAUUGGGAUUUGUAAGUGAUGUUAUAGCCAACUUCUCCCCUUCAAGGUUAUUUUCCCUCUUGAAGAAGUGUGGCCUGUGGGGAGUUCUACCCUGUUGGUGGAUAUAAUGGUGAUGGUUCUUUGCUCAUCGGAGAUGUACAACUGAUUUUCUUUUGAAUAUUUAACGCCUCCUCGCCAGGACUAAAAUCAGAUUACUACUAAACUUUAGUAUUGUAUGACUUAUCUAUUCAUAUUCCUCGUUAUUGUAGCCAACAAGGAUGUGUUUCACUUUGUUCA
Phoenix dactylifera (date palm) is the source of this 1180-nucleotide non-coding RNA. Lineage: Eukaryota; Viridiplantae; Streptophyta; Magnoliopsida; Arecales; Arecaceae. The record is from RefSeq and is a predicted model, not a curated record.